Molecule: long non-coding RNA, 1701 nt
Organism: Fukomys damarensis (Damara mole-rat)
Lineage: Eukaryota; Metazoa; Chordata; Mammalia; Rodentia; Bathyergidae
Exons: 3
Source: RefSeq, a predicted model, not a curated record
CAGAUACUUCAGAGGUCUGGCUCCCCUGUCUUCAUCUUGCGAUAGUGAAGGCACAGUGUGCUCAUCAAACACACUCGAGAGCCCUUGUCUGAGAACACAGGCAUUUAUGGAGCAGUCUCUACCUUUUUGGAAAGGAGAAACUUGUUGGUCAUCAGCUCACUGUGUGUGAGCCACCUCCACUACUGUUCCUUUGGCCUUGGGUUCCAUGUGGCCUCUUCCUUAUGUAGUUGGAAGAAUCAGUACUGUGUAUCAAGCUCCGGGUUUUCUUGUGUGAGUUAGGCGUGUGAAACAUUUCUGUCUUAGUUUCCAGGAAGCAUGAAGAUCAAACUGUCACAGUCUUUCACAUAGCCAGCUCCCUGGACAAUCCCUAAGGGUCCUUGUACAAAUUAAUAUGCAGUAAUAGGACGAAAAGGCUAGGUUCAGAAGUUGGGAUUCUUUUGUGACUCCACAGUUGUGGGAGAAACUCAGAAAAGGUGUCCUUUGCCUCAUUAUUCUCUGCUUCCUUGUCAGAGUACCCUAACUGGUCAACAUAGCUCGUGUUCAUGGGUGACAUACAAUUCACAGGCUGAGGACUUUAUCCGCAUGGAUUGCAACCAAGGGAAAUCUCAACCAGCAGCUAAGAAGACUGCGAGACUAUGAAAAGCAAAAGCUUUGUUGAGUUACUGUUGUGGAAGUAGCCAACAACAUGGUGGUAUCUCAGGUUAUUCUAAGAGGGAUUGAACUCGAGUCCUUGCGCUUGCGAGGCUGUGCUGUGUGUGGUGUUCUUCACGUAGUCCUUUUAUGGUGCAUAUUGACCUGACAACUCCUAAGGACUGAAAGGCUGCGAAAAAGCUCUUCUUGGAAUGGCCUGUGCCAAGACAAAAGAAUGCCAAUACUUGAUAUUAAGUUACAUAUCCUUCAGUAACAUUGAAUCUUUUUUUUUGUACUGGGAUGGAACUCAGGAUCUUUCGCUCACUGAGCUAAAUCUCUGGCAGUAACAUUGAAUUUUGUUAGUUACUAAGUACACCUGAUAUUCCUCACAUUACAAUGUUUCUAUUAAGUACAAAGCAACAGUUUUUUUUUUUUAAAUCCCUGAAUAUCAUUGCGCUAGAAAUUUUUUAGAUAUAAGGGUAAAUACGAAUUUGGGUUCUUCUCAUUUUUCCUUCUUCUUUCCCCAGUAAGCUGUGCAAGGUUCUUGACCAACUGAAUGUGGUUGCCCAAAAUAUAGUGAAGAAAACAGGUGUCUCUGUAAACUUCCCUAAUUCUCACCGUAGCAUUGUACAGCCAGAUGAAAAGUAUGCAUGACAUUUAAAAAUUUAAAUCAAGAUUUUUCUUCUUACGGACAAAACUAUUCUAAUUAUGAACAGUUUGUGCCAGUUGGAAGAUGUAUGGAUUUAGUCCUUUGAGGACUGUGGCCCUGGGAGUAUUUCUGGUGGUUUUAUACAUUGAGAAAGAAGUGAAGGGGUCUUACCUCUUGCUUUUUAGAAUAAACAUUAUAUAAAGUAUCUCCAUGAAGUAAAAUCUUCAGGAUUUAAGGAAACCAGGCAUAAAUUCCUGAGUCUCUCUCCCAAGAAGUCACACCAACUCUCGUCCCCCACAGCAAAUUGUGACAGCAGGUGUACCGUGUUACCAGCCAGGGAAGCUUCUUAGAGACUCAGGGUAUUUUAUUAUUUAUUUAUUAUUAAUUAAUUUAUUUAUUUAUUGCUUUUUUUUUUUGAUAGG